Molecule: unclassified non-coding RNA, 262 nt
Filed under: Hevea brasiliensis (rubber tree)
Lineage: Eukaryota; Viridiplantae; Streptophyta; Magnoliopsida; Malpighiales; Euphorbiaceae
Source: RNAcentral
GCUCGACACGGUGGCCAGCGGCCACCGUGAGACGGUAGCGGAGGAGCACGGCGGCGGCGACAGACUUCAUUUGCAGAUAAGCCAGAUCCUUGCCGAGACAGACCCUCGGGCCGGCAUUGAAUGCGACAAACUUAAACGAGUCAUGAGGCUCGAAGCGAGCACCGUCGGCAGACAUCCACCGCUCCGGCUUAAACUCGAGACAGUCCUCACCCCAGACGGCCGGCAUUCUGCCGGUGGAGUAGAUUGAGUAAGUGAUCGCGCU